AACAGGAUUAGAUACCCUGGUAGUCCAUGCUGUAAACGAUGAGUGCUAAACGUUGGGAACUUGGUUCUCAGUGUUGAAGCUAACGCAUGAAGCACUCCGCCUGGGGAGUACGACCGCAAGGUUGAAACUCAAAGGAAUUGACGGGGGCCCACACAAGCGGUGGAGCAUGUGGUUUAAUUCGAAACAACGCGCGGAACCUUACCAACUCUUGACAUCCGACUAUGGGAAUGUUCGAAAGAAUGUUUUCGAAGGUUGGACAGGUGUUGCAUGGCUGUCGUCAGCUCGUGUCGUGAGAUGUUGGGUUAAGUCCUAUAACGAGCGCAACCCCCAUUUUGAGUUGCCGUCUUGGAAACAAGAGGAUCUCUCAAAAAACUGCCAAUGAUAAGUUGGAGGAAGGUGGGGAUGACGUCAAGUCCGCAUGGCCUUUAUGGGUUGGGCUACACACGUGCUACAAUGGGAAGGACAGAACGAGGCAAUGAUGUGAGUCGGAGCGAAUCGAGAAACCUUCCCUCAGUACAGAUUGUUCUCUGCAACUCGAGAACAUGAAGACGGAAUCGCUAGUAAUCGCGAAUCAGAACGUCGCGGUGAAUCCGUUCCUGGGCCUUGUACACACCGCCCGUCACACCACGAGAAUGGAUUUGACUUGAAGUCGAUGGCGCAACCGCAAGGACCGCGUCGCCUAGAGUGAAAUUCGUGAUUGGGGUGAAGUCGUAACAAGGUAACC
This 724-nucleotide ribosomal RNA is filed under the name uncultured bacterium. RNAcentral describes it as "bacterial SSU rRNA". It matches the Rfam family "Bacterial small subunit ribosomal RNA", at positions 771 to 1501 of the family's 1533-position model. The record is from RNAcentral.